This is a long non-coding RNA of Pseudophryne corroboree (corroboree frog), 532 nucleotides long. RefSeq lists it as uncharacterized. The record is from RefSeq and is a predicted model, not a curated record. Lineage: Eukaryota; Metazoa; Chordata; Amphibia; Anura; Myobatrachidae. The transcript has 3 exons.
CACUGCACACAGCAACUCUGCCAUCCAGUGAGGCUGCCAUGGCAACACGCCACCGUGUGGCAAAAUGAUCAGACUGUCUUUCGGAUACCCUUGAGAAAAUACCAUACUUAUAUGCUGUGUUGGGACACCAUGGGAAGAUGCCGGCUGAGAUGGCGAGAUUGGGGUAGAAAUACAGGAACUUGGAAGUACAGAUAAGUUCAGAGGGACAUUCAGAAGUAGGAUUCCGAGACACCAAGAAGGGCUCAUUCCGUCUCCUGCUCCAACCCUUCGGCGUCUGCGUCCUACUGUACGUCACCAGAGCUAAUUCCCUCACAGCCUUCACCUGAAAAACCUAAGGUAGAACAACUGCCACUGGUGUACGUUUCAGGACCAAGGAUAGCGUCAGAUUGUUCUUCAUACAGCAGUUAAACAAAAAUAAUAUGGUCUUAUUUAGCAUAAUGUGAUUGACCAAACCAUAUGCUGAUGCAAUUCAAUCUAGUCACAUGCAUCGUUCAACAGGCGGCUGUCUGACAGCUCCAUCUGACAGCUGGCA